RNAcentral lists this ribosomal RNA (253 nucleotides) under uncultured bacterium. RNAcentral describes it as "partial 16S ribosomal RNA". It matches the Rfam family "Bacterial small subunit ribosomal RNA", at positions 524 to 776 of the family's 1533-position model. The record is from RNAcentral.
UACGAGGGGGGCAAAUGUUGUUCGGAAUCACUGGGCGUAAAGGGAGCGUAGGCGGGUUUCUAAGUCAGGUGUUUAAUCCCGGGGCCCAACCCCGGACAGGCACUUGAAACUGGGAAUCUUGAAUAGUGGAGAGGUCAGUGGAAUUGGGGGUGUAGCGGUGGAAUGCGUAGAGAUCCCCAAGAACACCAGUUGCGAAGGCGGCUGACUGGACACAUAUUGACGCUGAGGAGCGAAAGCGUGGGGAGCAAACAGG